UACAGAGGAGCCAAGCGUUGUCCGGAUUGACUGGGCGUAAAGCGCACGCAGGCGGUCGGGCGCGUGGGGUGGGAAAUCUGGCCGCUUAACGGCCAGGCGCCAUCCCAUACGGCCGGACUGGAGGGAUGCAGAGGUCGGUGGAAUUGCCGGUGUAGUGGUGAAAUGCGUAGAUAUCUGGAGGAACACCGGUGGCGAAGGCGACAUCCUGGACCGGCAUUGACGCUGAGGCGCGAAAGCCAGGGAAGCAAACGGG
RNAcentral lists this ribosomal RNA (253 nucleotides) under uncultured bacterium. RNAcentral describes it as "partial 16S ribosomal RNA". It matches the Rfam family "Bacterial small subunit ribosomal RNA", at positions 524 to 776 of the family's 1533-position model. The record is from RNAcentral.